RNAcentral lists this ribosomal RNA (253 nucleotides) under uncultured bacterium. RNAcentral's name for it is "partial 16S ribosomal RNA". It matches the Rfam family "Bacterial small subunit ribosomal RNA", at positions 524 to 776 of the family's 1533-position model. The record is from RNAcentral.
UACGUAGGGGGCAAGCGUUAUCCGGAUUUAUUGGGCGUAAAGAGCGCGUAGGCGGUCAGGCAGGUCUGCUGUGAAAACUCGGGGCUUAACCCCGGAUCUGCAGUGGGUACGGGCAGACUAGAGUGCUGUAGGGGAGACUGGAAUUCCUGGUGUAGCGGUGAAAUGCGCAGAUAUCAGGAGGAACACCGAUGGCGAAGGCAGGUCUCUGGGCCUUAACUGACGCUGAGGAGCGAAAGCGUGGGGAGCGAACAGG